This 4207-nucleotide small RNA is filed under the name Rattus norvegicus (Norway rat). RNAcentral's name for it is "uncharacterized LOC108348412". Lineage: Eukaryota; Metazoa; Chordata; Mammalia; Rodentia; Muridae. The record is from RNAcentral.
CCACCACCACCACCACCAAAGCCUUCCAUCAGCUUUGUUUUGCAAGGCAGAAACCGAGGCACAGACGGGCUAAGGGCUUCCCAAGUCAUACAGCACCCCAUUGGUAGGACUACCCCCGCCAUCCAAGGCCCUGGCCUUUGGCCUGCUAGACUCACCUGGGCCUCAUCUAGUGGGGAAGACUUAGCCAAGAGCUGGGUAGAAGAGGAAUGAGUAAGGGAGCAGAGGCUGUGCCAUCAGGCUCCAUUUUCACAGAACAGGCUGAGUAAUGGCCCCCAUAGGUAAAUAGCUUGGUAGCCAUAGUGCAGAGCUACUGCCUCUGGUCCCAAUCUAUGCCCUGCCAAGCCCCAUUUCUGCAGGGAUAUCAUUGCUCAUCUUAAAGUGGUAGGCCAGACCCUGGCAGUGGUGAUGGUGGUGGUGGAAGUGGUGGUGGUGGUGGCAGCUGUGGUGGGGAGGCUCUAACAUCCUGAAAGCCAUCUACAGAGGACAUUGAAGACGGGGUGGGACUAAAGCUCAUGUCCACUGUGGUGGCAGAUCCUCUGGGCAUGUAAGCCUCUGUUGCUUUUGUAGGCCCAGAGCCCUUCUCCUUACACUCCCUGUGACUGGAGUGAAGGAGUGGGUAGUUGGCCUGCAGCUUGGGCGUGGCUUGCUGGGUGGAGGUGGCCAGGCUCAGGGCUGCCUGGGCUAUGACACUUCUGUGAACCUCACUCCCUCUGGGUACCUAUUAGCAUGCUACUCCAAGGGGGGCUGGUAAACGUUAACUGGCCUUCCGGCCUUUAGCAGCCAGGGGGUCAGGGAAAGGUCACUGAAACCUGCAGGAUUGAUAGUCUAGGCAUCAGUCUCUACCCAGUUCUUCCAGGGUGAGAACGAACCACCGGGAGCCCAUUUCCACAGAAAUCCUUUUCAGGGGUCUCUUUACUAUGGGCCCGGUCUUCUCCAGCCUCUAAGUCCACAUCUGGGGUUGGGAAGGUGUGUAGCGAGAGCCAGUGGGCAGACUCUGAAUAGAUGGCAGGCCUUGGAAUUUGGGGGCCUGGCCAGGUGUGACCCCAGUGCCUGACCUCUGUGGCCUGGAGGGUAAAGAGGUGGGAGGUGGGGGUUGGGAGGAGGUUACUGGCUAACAGUUACCAGGACCUUUGAAGCUAUAAAUGCUUCCCCGGGCCCCUGCUGGGAUGGAUGGGGUCAGAGUUCACUGGUUGUCUGGCUCUCCAAGUGGGCUGGAAAUCUUGCAGGCAGAUGGAGUAGGGACCCAUGGAAUGGGACAUUCCCAGAGGUGGAAGGCUCAUGGGAAAUGUUAUUUUUGGUGCUCUGGCUUGGCUCAGGCCCAACGACUUGGAGGCCUUGGGAGGGGCUGAUAGAAGUUGUUUUUGUCACAUACUCACUCGUCUCUCGGGUAUGUUUCCCAAGUUGUGUUUGGUCACACCAAGAUCGGCUUCUGAAUGAUGGAGACCUUGCAGUCGGCCUCUGCCUGACCUGGCAAGGAGGAAGAACACGGUCGGGUCUCCUGAUUCAUUGUGUCUCAAUGGGUCCAGUAGACUGGAUAACGGGGUACAUAUGAAAAAAACGGGGAGCAAGAGGAGUCAACAUUCAGGCCUUCAGCACCCGAAUGGACUAAGCUUACUGAAGUCACCGGCAGGUAACUUGAUCAACGGCUGAGACAGCGCCCAUGGUGGGAAUUAAGCAGUGCCUGAGCCGCAGAGGCGUGGGGAAAUGACCUUGAGUGACUGUGGCAUGCGGGCAGCCUUGUUUCACAUGAGGACAUCGCCUGCUCUGCAUCUGCCUUGCACACUGAAGGCUGUGUGCGUCCAGUGUCUGCAGGGUCGAUGGUGACAUUUCUCUUCCAGCCUCUUGCUCCAGAGGCGGGAGCCAUGUGUCAACAGCCAGGCCUCAGGCAGAACGGCAGAACUCCUGGUCCUGCUCUGGCUGACUGGUGACAGAUAGGGCAGCUUACAGUAGAGAAGGGAGUGGGUGGCGUUGCUCUCCGGUGUUUCCAGCCCUCCACCACCCUAGCUGCAAAAGACCAUCCCAGCAAAUGAUCUGAUCUGUUCUGAGGGUCAAGGGUCACAGUUGAGAGACGCACGGCCAGACAGGUGUCUAGGAGCCAUAUGCUGACACCAGCCAGUUCCAGAAGGUGAUACUGCUCUGUCCAGGAGCCAGUGGCACAGGAGAAACUUGAGGUCUUUUGGUUUGAUGAGCAUUGUUAGCUCUGACUUCAGAUAAGCAGAGCAAACAAGCCACAGUCCAAGUGGGAACUGGUUCUGCCCCUUUGUUUUGCUUUUCUAAGUCAUCAAAGCCAAGUUUCUCAAGCCUGAAUACCUCUGCUUUCUGAUGGUCCCAUUGUGUUUUUAUUGUGCUUCUGACAAGUGCUAACAGACCACUUUCAAAGUGUGUUGAUGUUUCGGUUGUUUUUGAAUGGCCCUUCUGUUUUCCUGCAUCUGGGCAGCAUUAGCCUCUGGCCCCAGGGAACGACUGGGUUCCUAUAAAAAGUGUACCAGGUCCCCUUAUGUGGAAAAACUGGCCAGGACAAGAUCAGACACCCAUCUGGGCAGGAACAUACAGCACAAAUGUGAACACCAUUCACCAGCUGCAGAAGCCAGGUCAGGCUGGGAAGAGGCCAGUGAGCCUUGCCAAAUGGACUGUGGGUGUUCUCUUUCUGUGUGUGGACACAUUGUGAUCUUCCUGAGGGAGGAUACCAAUAAGAAGAGUGCCUGGCACUAGGCAAUGCCACCAAAUGUUUGUUGUCCCUCUGUCCUCUUAGCUCAAGUUGCUUGUCAAUUACCAACAUAAGAGGCUCCUGAGAACUGGCCACACAGGGACCAGAGUUGGGACACACAGGACAGUCUAGAGUUCAGAGGGUUUACUAGGAGAGAGAGGCAGACCUUAUCUGUUUGAUAUCUGAGCUUUCUUGAGGGAUCUUUUGCUCUAUUGCUUGAAGGGCUAAAGCAGGGAGCGGGUAGGGCAGGGUGGGCAUGUUUCCUCCAGAUUCUAUCUAGGGGUUGUAUGGCUGGCUCGUUCCUUUGUGCUUCUGUUGUGUGUCCUGCCUUCCCUUCACCAUAACACUUUAGGCUAAGCAAAGUCAGGUUCAAAAUGGCUGCCUCCAGUGGAAGAGUCUUUGGGUAUGGACGAGGCUUCCAGGAAGUGAGCCACACGUAUCAUCUCGCUCAUUUAAUGCUAUCCGCAGACUCUCUCGCUUGUCCGAAGGCUAUCUUCAUUUUUUUUUUUCUUUUAAGCUGGCUGAGUUUCCCUUUAGCUCCAACCUCACCAGCUCAUGAACUGUCUGUCCUCCCUUGAGUUUCCAGAGUUGCAGGGCUCUCCCCUAACUGACUUCUAGUCUACUCUGGGACUCAUGUUAACGAGAUCCCAUCUUUAUUCCUUUACCCCGAUGCAUCAAUCCCUGCUCCCAUCCCCACCCCCUGUUGAAUUUAUACUAGGAGUCAGAGGAGCUGAGACUGGCUGGUGCUAAGCGAUCUGGUGCUACUGUUAGAUAAGCAGGUCGCCCUGAUGAGGGAAACACUAGCGGUUCUAAAACAGGACUAUGGAGUCUCUUACACCUGCAGUAGAUAUUUAUAUCUAUAAACACAUCGGGGUGGGCAGGGAUUGCCCUGUCUGUGUUCAUAAGGCCUUAGACCUCUUGAGUCUCCCUUCAUCUAUGGGAGGCCCUCCCUGGCUUUUGCUUCAAAAUGUAAAUUAUUGCAUCAGUCAGCUUUCUGUUACUGUAACAAAUAUCUGGACGAUCAACAUAUGAAGAGAAAAGAUUCACUUCUGUGCCUAGUUUUGGUCAUAGACUAAAAACCUACGGAGGACAGGCAACGCAGUAGCCAGCACUUGGACCUCGACUUACUUAGCCUCCCAAUUUCCACUAUGGCAAGAAUUUUGUUGGCCCCUGUUCCUUCAAGAACAAGAAAACAAAUGUAGACAGCUCUAGAGCCUGACAGGCUGAGAUGGUGGGUCACAGAGAAGUGGAACAUGGCAUCCAUGAAGCAAGAGUAUCCUCAGGAGGGUAUUUCUUGAGUCUCUGGAUGGGCCUGGUAGAGAACCGUGUGGUCUUAUGUGUGUAUAUGCUUGUGAACACCUGUCACUUUGAGAAAUUUCCAACUCUAUGUAGCAGUUUCCUUCUCACCAGGGUCUCUCCUUGUCUGAAACUUUAAUUUUAUAGCUGUGGCUGUUAAUGCAUCAUGGGUACCACCGUCAAUAAAUAUUUAUUGAGCUUUCA